RNAcentral lists this ribosomal RNA (472 nucleotides) under Streptococcus mutans. Its description in RNAcentral is "bacterial SSU rRNA". It matches the Rfam family "Bacterial small subunit ribosomal RNA", at positions 28 to 474 of the family's 1533-position model. The record is from RNAcentral. Lineage: Bacteria; Bacillati; Bacillota; Bacilli; Lactobacillales; Streptococcaceae.
GACGAACGCUGGCGGCGUGCCUAAUACAUGCAAGUGGGACGCAAGAGAACACACUGUGCUUGCACACCGUGUUUUCUUGAGUCGCGAACGGGUGAGUAACGCGUAGGUAACCUUCCUAUUAGCGGGGGAUAACUAUUGGAAACGAUAGCUAAUACCGCAUAAUAUUAAUUAUUGCAUGAUAAUUGAUUGAAAGAUGCAAGCGCAUCACUAGUAGAUGGACCUGCGUUGUAUUAGCUAGUUGGUAAGGUAAGAGCUUACCAAGGCGACGAUACAUAGCCGACCUGAGAGGGUGAUCGGCCACACUGGGACUGAGACACGGCCCAGACUCCUACGGGAGGCAGCAGUAGGGAAUCUUCGGCAAUGGACGAAAGUCUGACCGAGCAACGCCGCGUGAGUGAAGAAGGUUUUCGGAUCGUAAAGCUCUGUUGUAAGUCAAGAACGUGUGUGAGAGUGGAAAGUUCACACAGUGACG